RNAcentral lists this long non-coding RNA (485 nucleotides) under Heterocephalus glaber (naked mole-rat). Its description in RNAcentral is "lncRNA (ENSHGLG00000033785.1)". Lineage: Eukaryota; Metazoa; Chordata; Mammalia; Rodentia; Bathyergidae. The record is from RNAcentral.
CUUUAAGUGAAAGGGUAGAAGUUCUUAAUUUAAUACGGAAAAAAUCGUGUGCUGAAGUCAGUGGUAAGAACCAAUCUAUUCAUGAAACUGAAGGACAAAGAAAUUUAUGUUGUGCUGUCGCACCUCAAACUACAAAAGUUACAGCCACAGGUCUCACUGCAUAGCCCAGGCUGGUCUCGAACUUCUCCAAUCCUCCUGCCUCAGCCUCUCAAGUGCUGGUAUUACAGCUAACAUCUUUUGAAUACCCUUUCUGUGUGCUGAACACUGUGAAGUGCUUGCUGUGUUCCACAGCGUGGAGUCCUUAGUGCUUGCGUGCACCUGCCACACCAAAGGGUGGGAACUUGUCAGCACAUUUUUCAGUUAAGGAAUAAGAGUCAGCAGGCUUUUGAGAUCCAAACCCACUCACUCCCGGCACCCCUUGAUGUUCCACUCUGGGAUUCACAAAGUCCAAUAUUCAACAUGUAUGUUUCAGGAUAUAUCCUGCC